This 301-nucleotide ribosomal RNA is filed under the name uncultured bacterium. RNAcentral's name for it is "partial 16S ribosomal RNA". It matches the Rfam family "Bacterial small subunit ribosomal RNA", at positions 509 to 807 of the family's 1533-position model. The record is from RNAcentral.
CAGUAGCCGCGGGAAUACGUAGGGUGCGAGCGUUAAUCGGAAUUACUGGGCGUAAAGCGUGCGCAGGCGGUUAUAUAAGACAGAUGUGAAAUCCCCGGGCUCAACCUGGGAACUGCAUUUGUGACUGUAUAGCUAGAGUACGGCAGAGGGGGAUGGAAUUCCGCGUGUAGCAGUGAAAUGCGUAGAUAUGCGGAGGAACACCGAUGGCGAAGGCAAUCCCCUGGGCCUGUACUGACGCUCAUGCACGAAAGCGUGGGGAGCAAACAGGAUUAGAUACCCCCGUAGUCCCUGUCUCUUAUAC